RNAcentral lists this ribosomal RNA (96 nucleotides) under Marmota marmota marmota (Alpine marmot). Lineage: Eukaryota; Metazoa; Chordata; Mammalia; Rodentia; Sciuridae. The record is from RNAcentral.
UCUACGGCCAUACCACCCGUUCUCGUCUGAUCUCGGAAGCUAAGCAGGGUCGGGCCUGGUUAGUACUUGGAUGGGAGAAAUCAAGAGUCACAAGGA